This 253-nucleotide ribosomal RNA is filed under the name uncultured bacterium. RNAcentral's name for it is "partial 16S ribosomal RNA". It matches the Rfam family "Bacterial small subunit ribosomal RNA", at positions 524 to 776 of the family's 1533-position model. The record is from RNAcentral.
UACGGAGGGGGCAAGCGUUGUUCGGAAUUACUGGGCGUAAAGCGUGCGCAGGCGGCGCGUUAAGACAGGUGUGAAAGCCCCGAGCUUAACUUGGGAAUUGCGCUUGUGACUGGCGUGCUGGAGUGUGGCAGAGGGAGGUGGAAUUCCACGUGUAGCAGUGAAAUGCGUAGAGAUGUGGAGGAACACCGAUGGCGAAGGCAGCCUCCUGGGCCAGCACUGACGCUCAUGCACGAAAGCGUGGGGAGCAAACAGG